UGGCAUGAUCAUCAUGGUUGAAGCUGUGCCCAAAGCCUGGCCCUUGGCCUGAGGGGAAGUUGAGACAAUCAGCAGUAUUGGGAGAUGAGGCAAAGGUGUUCGUGGGGGCUCUCAGGCAGUGGGAACAACGAUGUGAGCCUUCACAGGGUUGCUCUAGCUUUGCUCCCUGGGAAGCAGGCUCUGAGAUGAAGAUCAGCAUGCAGGACUUUUGGGAGGGAGUGCUCUUGGAAUCAACUCCUAUAGGAGAGGAAAGAAAGAAAGGAUGCAGAAUUGGGAGGAGAAAAGUGGAGCUGUGAUUCAUUCCCAACAGAAGCCUCAGCCAAUCCCGCAGGAAGUUCUGAAGAUGGGAUGGUCCUUCACCUGAUCUGGUGCUGG
This 375-nucleotide long non-coding RNA is filed under the name Homo sapiens (human). Its description in RNAcentral is "HSALNT0282198". The record is from RNAcentral. Lineage: Eukaryota; Metazoa; Chordata; Mammalia; Primates; Hominidae.